CCCAAUCUUUGUUCAAGAUUGUAUUUUGACUAGAAAGAAGAGAUUUUUGGAUCAGUGUGAGAAUCUGCUAGGUUUUUGUUCAAUUGUGGUUUUUGGUUUUGUGAAUAAAUGGAAUUGGUUUUUAGUGCAAUGUGAGUAGGUUUUGGUUUUGUUACUGUGAAAUAUAGCA
Molecule: long non-coding RNA, 169 nt
Organism: Xiphophorus hellerii (green swordtail)
Lineage: Eukaryota; Metazoa; Chordata; Actinopteri; Cyprinodontiformes; Poeciliidae
Exons: 4
Source: RefSeq, a predicted model, not a curated record